CAUUACCGAAUUGUCAAACGGGUUGUUGCUGGUCUUCAAACGGGGACAUGUGCACGCUCUGUUUACACAUCCACUCACACCUGUGCACCCUCCGUAGUUCUAUGGUCUGGGGGACCCUGUCUUCCUGCCAUGGUUCUACGUCUUUACACACACUCUGUAAUAAAGUCUUAUGGAAUGUAUGCCGCGUCUAACGCAAUACAAUACAACUUUCAGCAACGGAUCUCUUGGCUCUCGCAUCGAUGAAGAACGCAGCGAAAUGCGAUAAGUAAUGUGAAUUGCAGAAUUCAGUGAAUCAUCGAAUCUUUGAACGCACCUUGCGCCCCUUGGCUAUUCCGAGGGGCAUGCCUGUUUGAGUAUCAUGAACACCUCAACUCUCAUGGUUCGCCAUGAUGAGCUUGGACUCUGGGGGUUUUGCUGGCCCGCGGUCGGCUCCCCUCAAAUGAAUCAGCCUCCCAGUGUUUGGUGGCAUCAYGGGUGUGAUAAAUAUCUACGCUCGCGGUYGUCUGCCAGGUAACCUUUGGUGACAAAGGUUUGCUGGAGCUCACAGAUGUCUCUCCUCGGUGAGGACAGCUUUUUUGAACGUUCGAUCUCAAAUCAGGUAGGACUACCCGCUGAACUUAAGCAUAU
RNAcentral lists this small RNA (627 nucleotides) under uncultured fungus. RNAcentral describes it as "eukaryotic LSU rRNA". The stretch from base 205 to 359 matches the Rfam family "5.8S ribosomal RNA". Lineage: Eukaryota; Fungi. The record is from RNAcentral.